Halichondria panicea is the source of this 77-nucleotide non-coding RNA. Lineage: Eukaryota; Metazoa; Porifera; Demospongiae; Suberitida; Halichondriidae. The record is from the annotation of a RefSeq genome assembly.
GGCCCUGUGGCCCAAUGGAUAAGGAAGGCAUCUGACUACGAGUCAGGGGAUUCCAGGUUCGAGUCCUGGCAGGGUCG